GAUGCCCAGCUUGCUGGGUGGAUUAGUGGCGAACGGGUGAGUAACACGUGAGUAACCUGCCCCUGACUCUGGGAUAAGCGUUGGAAACGACGUCUAAUACUGGAUACGACUGCCGGCCGCAUGGUCUGGUGGUGGAAAGAUUUUUUGGUUGGGGAUGGACUCGCGGCCUAUCAGCUUGUUGGUGAGGUAAUGGCUCACCAAGGCGACGACGGGUAGCCGGCCUGAGAGGGUGACCGGCCACACUGGGACUGAGACACGGCCCAGACUCCUACGGGAGGCAGCAGUGGGGAAUAUUGCACAAUGGGCGAAAGCCUGAUGCAGCAACGCCGCGUGAGGGAUGACGGCCUUCGGGUUGUAAACCUCUUUUAGUAGGGAAGAAGCGAAAGUGACGGUACCUGCAGAAAAAGCACCGGCUAACUACGUGCCAGCAGCCGCGGUAAUACGUAGGGUGCAAGCGUUGUCCGGAAUUAUUGGGCGUAAAGAGCUCGUAGGCGGUUUGUCGCGUCUGCUGUGAAAUCCCGAGGCUCAACCUCGGGCUUGCAGUGGGUACGGGCAGACUAGAGUGCGGUAGGGGAGAUUGGAAUUCCUGGUGUAGCGGUGGAAUGCGCAGAUAUCAGGAGGAACACCGAUGGCGAAGGCAGAUCUCUGGGCCGUAACUGACGCUGAGGAGCGAAAGCGUGGGGAGCGAACAGGAUUAGAUACCCUGGUAGUCCACGCCGUAAACGUUGGGCGCUAGAUGUAGGGACCUUUCCACGGUUUCUGUGUCGUAG
Molecule: ribosomal RNA, 770 nt
Filed under: Curtobacterium sp.
Lineage: Bacteria; Bacillati; Actinomycetota; Actinomycetes; Micrococcales; Microbacteriaceae
Description: bacterial SSU rRNA
Rfam family: Bacterial small subunit ribosomal RNA
Source: RNAcentral